This 253-nucleotide ribosomal RNA is filed under the name uncultured bacterium. RNAcentral describes it as "partial 16S ribosomal RNA". It matches the Rfam family "Bacterial small subunit ribosomal RNA", at positions 524 to 776 of the family's 1533-position model. The record is from RNAcentral.
UACAGGGGGGGCGAGCGUUGUUCGGAAUUAUUGGGCGUAAAGGGCGCGUAGGCGGUCGGAUAAGUCUUGUGUGAAAUCUUCGGGCUCAACUCGAAGUCUGCACAGGAAACUAUCUGGCUUGAGUGUGGGAGAGGUGAGUGGAAUUCCUGGUGUAGCGGUGAAAUGCGCAGAUAUCAGGAGGAACACCGGUGGCGAAGGCGGGUCUCUGGGCCGAUACUGACGCUGAGGAGCGAAAGCGUGGGGAGCAAACAGG